Molecule: ribosomal RNA, 437 nt
Filed under: uncultured bacterium
Lineage: Bacteria
Description: bacterial SSU rRNA
Rfam family: Bacterial small subunit ribosomal RNA
Source: RNAcentral
CAGUAGGGAAUCUUCCGCAAUGGGCGAAAGCCUGACGGAGCAACGCCGCGUGAGUGAUGAAGGUUUUCGGAUCGUAAAGCUCUGUUGCCAGGGAAGAACGUCUUGUAGAGUAACUGCUACAAGAGUGACGGUACCUGAGAAGAAAGCCCCGGCUAACUACGUGCCAGCAGCCGCGGUAAUACGUAGGGGGCAAGCGUUGUCCGGAAUUAUUGGGCGUAAAGCGCGCGCAGGCGGCUCUUUAAGUCUGGUGUUUAAUCCCGAGGCUCAACUUCGGGUCGCACUGGAAACUGGGGAGCUUGAGUGCAGAAGAGGAGAGUGGAAUUCCACGUGUAGCGGUGAAAUGCGUAGAUAUGUGGAGGAACACCAGUGGCGAAGGCGACUCUCUGGGCUGUAACUGACGCUGAGGCGCGAAAGCGUGGGGAGCAAACAGGAUUAGA